Molecule: ribosomal RNA, 354 nt
Filed under: Salmonella enterica subsp. enterica serovar Oranienburg
Lineage: Bacteria; Pseudomonadati; Pseudomonadota; Gammaproteobacteria; Enterobacterales; Enterobacteriaceae
Also listed under: 1 other name
Description: partial 23S ribosomal RNA
Rfam family: Bacterial large subunit ribosomal RNA
Source: RNAcentral
AAGGCUAAAUACUCCUGACUGACCGAUAGUGAACCAGUACCGUGAGGGAAAGGCGAAAAGAACCCCGGCGAGGGGAGUGAAAAAGAACCUGAAACCGUGUACGUACAAGCAGUGGGAGCCCCACCACCAAAGCAUUCUCUGGUGUUGAAGGCCCUGCAAAGCAGCAUCGCGGUGGCGGAGCGUCGUUUGCGACGCCCAACACACAAAACAAGCGGUGAGUGCUUUGGGGUGGGGUGACUGCGUACCUUUUGUAUAAUGGGUCAGCGACUUAUAUUCUGUAGCAAGGUUAACCGAAUAGGGGAGCCGGAGGGAAACCGAGUCUUAAUUGGGCGUUAAGUUGCAGGGUAUAGACCC